Long non-coding RNA from Oreochromis niloticus (Nile tilapia), 1643 nucleotides. RefSeq lists it as uncharacterized. The record is from RefSeq and is a predicted model, not a curated record. The transcript is spliced from 5 exons. NCBI's taxonomy places the organism in Eukaryota, Metazoa, Chordata, Actinopteri, Cichliformes, Cichlidae.
UUGACUGGUAUUUCACUUCAUGAUUCCAUUUCUUUUCCGGGCUCCUGGUGUAGCUGUUUUGUUCCACACCUGAGAGUGAUUACUGUCUCCGGCCCAAACAAAAAAAACACCUGAGGCCAAUAUAACCAGACUAAAGAGUAAAGAGGUGUGAACAUGCCUUUAAGUCCAAAUCUCAGUCAGCCAGAAAUAAAUCUGAACAACUGAAAAGACAUCAGAUAAAUCCUGGGAUUUUUCUCUGGUCUGAAGUUAAAGUGUCAGAAGUGACCGGACGUCAGGAGGGGUUAACGAGAGGACGCUGAGGUCCACACUUUGACGUCGUAGGUGGUUCCAGGCUGCAGGUUGGUCAGAGUGUAAGAGCUCACGUCUCCAACGAAGAAGUCGAUGGGCUGGUUCAUGCCUGGAAACACAGAGCGGGGAAUGAGAAGUGAGUGAGAAACUGACGAGAAGUAAAAAUCAGGGGUGUAGAUCAGCCGGUAUCCCUGGAUGGGUGCAGACACGGGGUCCCAGGCCACCCUGAAGCGUGUGUACCACUCGUCUGAGAUUCGAAGGUUUCUGGGACCCAACAUGUCGACUGUGACACGGAGGAGGCAUCGAAUUUUAGACAUGUCAUUUGCUUCCAUGCUUGGGAUCAUUGUGCAGUUUGGGUCGAGCAUUAGCUGUGGGACAGAUGGCCCGACAGACUGGGGUGAAUUUGCUGGGACGUCCACCCCUGAUAGGACCGUGGCAUUGAGUUAACACACCUGAAUGCUCCAGACCUGCCAAAACUUCAGCCUUUAUAAAGCGAUCCCUCGCCGUCGGCGUACAGAGCAGUGACACUGACGGAGUAGGGAGUAUCCGGUAUCAGGUUGUCCAGGAAGGCGUUGUUAAUACUUCCAGGAACCAGGACCUUUUCGGAGAAGAAACGCAGGAGUCAAAAUACAUAUUGAUAUAAUCAUCAAAGAGGCUCUGCCUAUUCAAAUGAGCCUCUUCAUGCAUUACAUACAGAUCUGGCCGGAGUAAUCUACAUAAUGACCUCAGUGCUCAUCUUGCAUCCAGUGUUCUCCAAGGUUUCUUCUGCCAAAUGGUUCCUCAAACACUAACAAAGGCUUGGAAGGUGAAAUGCUAAACAAACCAUCGGUCAGCGGGAGACGUGUUCUAACAACACGAGUGACUGCAGACUGUCACUUGUCACUGGGAUUAUCACAUCAUCUAUUAGCUGGUUUGUGGGCCAUUAAAGUCUCUGCCGUUACAUCAUGGGAAAUAUAUCUUCUGCUUGGACUCGAGUUCCCCCUCAUCUUGAGACUGGUUUGGUUGCAGCAAAUGUUUUGGGCCCAAAGGUUUUGGCAUGUUGGAGCAUGAAAUAGGUUUCACAGCGAUGAUGUAGUGGCUAAGAUCCCACAACUGGAAGCACACACACACCUACACACGCACAACUGUUAGCCUGGGGUUAAAGCCCACCAGUAAACUCUAAAGUGAGGACAAUGGAUUGGACACGGACCUUUUAAAACAUUAUAAACGAGACUGGAGGUUAUAGUCAUUUCCUGAAAGCAGUACUGCUCUCGAGGGCUGGGAUGUACUUCAUCGGCUGAAGUAAACCUGAAUGAUGAGGCCAAAGUAUGCAGUUGUUCUGGGUAACUGAUGGGCUUUUGAAUGGGACGCAUUCA